RNAcentral lists this ribosomal RNA (593 nucleotides) under uncultured Alphaproteobacteria bacterium. Its description in RNAcentral is "partial 16S ribosomal RNA". It matches the Rfam family "Bacterial small subunit ribosomal RNA", at positions 1 to 603 of the family's 1533-position model. The record is from RNAcentral. Lineage: Bacteria; Pseudomonadati; Pseudomonadota; Alphaproteobacteria.
ACGUCGCAUGCUUCCGGCCGCCAAUGCGGCCGCGGGAAUUCGAUUAGAGUUUGAUCAUGGCUCAGAACGAACGCUUUCGGUAUGCUUAACACAUGCAAGUCGAACGGAUUUAUUUAGAGCUUGCUUUAAAUAAAUUAGUGGCAGACGGGUGAGUAACACGUGGGAAUCUGCCCAUCAGUACGGAAUAACAUUUAGAAAUAAUUGCUAAUACCGUAUAUUCUCUUUGGAGGAAAGAUUUAUCGCUGAUGGAUGAGCCCGCGCCAGAUUAGGUAGUUGGUAGGGUAAUGGCCUACCAAGCCAAUGAUCUGUAGCUGGUUUGAGAGAAUGAUCAGCCACACUGGGACUGAGACACGGCCCAGACUCCUACGGGAGGCAGCAGUGGGGAAUAUUGGACAAUGGGCGAAAGCCUGAUCCAGCAAUGCCGCGUGAGUGAUGAAGGCCUUAGGGUUGUAAAGCUCUUUUACCCGGGAUGAUAAUGACAGUACCGGGAGAAUAAGCUCCGGCUAACUCCGUGCCAGCAGCCGCGGUAAUACGAAUCACUAGUGAAUUCGCGGCCGCCUGCAGGUCGACCAUAUGGGAGAGCUCCCAACGCG